AACCCUAAUUCCAUAGGUCCUGUGACAGCAUUAAGGAUUUUUAUUUUUUGCUUUAUAGGGCUGUACUCACGGCCCGUGACAGGAACUCCUGAUUUUUUUUAAAAAGAAAAUUAUCGAAGUAUGGUUUUGGUUUUUUUUUUUUUUUUUUUUUGGCCAUGCAUGCAGCAUAUAGGCCAAGGAUUGAAUGUGUGCCACAGCAGUGACCUAAGAUCCUGCAUUGACAAUGUUGUGUGAGUUUCAGCUGCACAGCAAAAUGAUUCAGUUACACACACACACACACACACACACACACACACAUAUGCGCACACACACAGAGAUUUUUAGAUGCUUUUCCCUUGUAGGUUGUUAUAAAAUCUCAAGUAUAGUUCCCAUGCUAUAGAGUAGGUCUUUCAAGUAAAGAAAAGUGCUCCAGAUUUAAUAAAACAUAGAAGGAAUUAUCCCAACAUACUAAGUGCUGUCGCCAUCCUUAGCUGUUGAAAGGACUAGAAACACCUGAGUGAAGCCCUCACACAGAAAUGCUGACCGUGGAGUUAGGGAAAAGACAAGCAUUAAGUGUUCAACUCAAACUCUCCUUGAGGAACUCAGUGAUGGGCAGAUAAGUUGUGGCCAAAGAUCCUGAUGUUUAUAGGAUAAUUCAUUGCUGCCCCACCCACCCCUUUCUCACCAUUCUCCCCCCCGCCCACCCCAGGGCAUGAGGAUCUGCAAAGAUUCUAUUUCACCUUUUAAUGUAAAAAAUACUGUUCUGUGGGAGUUUAUUUCUUAACACCCUAGACACUUUUUUUCAAAUGUUUGCCUGACUUGUCAAUGUUUACUGGAGUCAGGUGUUGAAUUGCCGGAUAUGUGCAUUUUAUCAUAACUCUGUUACAUCAGUCCCCAAACUCUGGGAAAAAAAAAUAUUCUUAUUAACUGCUAUUACCUUCAUCAAACAUGUAACCUCUCGGCAGGGCUCUGGUUCCCUAGGCAAGCCCAUCAUCGGCCCCUCACUUCAAGCAAGUACAUAAGCACCAGCUGUCAACGGUGCUUUCAAUCCAGCUGUCAAGCCAGGUGUGGUAGACACAGUGCUGUGCUCUGAUGUUAAUGAUGGAUUAAUUAAGGCAGUGCGUGUGUGUGUGUGUGUGUGUGUGUGUGCGUGUGCGCGCGCGCGCGCACGCGCGAGCAGUGGAAUCUGGAGAGCAGUCCGCGAGCUGCUUUUGGCUGGGGUUUCAUGGCAGUCUUCAGUGUACUCCUUGGGGGCCUCCUCUCCACUUGCCAACAGGUCUGUACACUCUGCUUCAAAAGCAAACAAUCAGCUUAUCUGAAUAAAAACAAAGAACCCCAUGACUAAUUCAGCAAAGCGCGUGAUCUUGACAGAGAAAGCACAGCACUUAUUUGACAGGUCAUGAAAGGAAGUGCUCUUUUUCUCCUUACUCUUGAAGAGUAGGCUAAUCUGUGCAUACACUGCUUGCACUUCAUGAACCAGUAAUAAGGGAGGAUGUACACAGCUCAUAAGAUUAUAGGAUUUUGCAAUAUUUAAAUAUUUCCUAUAAACUUUUAAAACUGUAUGUGUAUAUAUGUAUUUUUUUUCUUCUUUUUAGGACUGCACCAGAGGCAUAUGGAAGUUCCCAGGAUAGGGGUCGAAUUGGAACUGCAGCCUCCAGCCUAUGCCACAGUCACAGCAACGUAGGAUCCAAGCCAUGUCUGUGUUCUACACCACAGCUCAUGGCAAAGCUGGAUCCUUGACCCACUGAGUGAGGCCAGGGAUCAAACCGGCAUCAUCAUGGAUGCUAGUCAGGUUCGUUAACCACUGAUCCACAACAGGAACUCCUAAAAUAUAUUUUUGCAGGAUGUUGAUAAUGUGUUGCCCUUGGGAACUGUUUUACCUCCAUAUUAGUUGUCUCUUUAUCACGAGUUAGGUCGAUUCUCUAAUCUGCGUGUCUUUUUGUUACAGGGUUUUAAGCUACUGCCUCCACGUUGCUCAAGGGCAGAGUCCUACUUAACACAUUGCUCAGGACUAAUGCCCAAGGAUGCAAAUGCUUUGUUCUCAGAUUAUGUGCUGUUCCAUUUUGGAUGAAAAAAUGCAGGUUUUCAUUUUUUUUUGAUAGAGUAAUAGCAAGGUAAGACAAUAACAAUAGCAAUAAUAACUACAAUUAAUUCAGCACCUGUUAUGUUAGACUAAGUAUAUUAUGAAACAUAAUUUCAUAAUCUCUUUAUUAAGCAAUUUCACAGAUGUUCAAGUUUAGAGAGAAUAAAUAACUUGCCCAGAAUUGUAUAAAGACCAAUGAAGAAUGGAAUGGAUUUGGAGAAGAUGGAUAUUGAAGAUCGAUGGGGAUUUAUUAGGAAAUCAAUAGGAAAUUUAUUAGGAAAUCCAUAGGAUUUAUUAGAGAUUUAUUAGACGGAAAAAGGGAAGCCAGAAGGAGACAAGCUUAGGAUAUGGACAACUCAGAGCCACAAUGCCUGUUGGGAAACCAUGGAACCCGGUGCUACUGCAGCAAUAGAGAGGCAGAAUGGAGGAGGUUUGAGGAAAUCCAUGAUAAAAAGUUUGACCUUGACUUUAUUCUUCUUGUAAAGAGGAACUAGUGAAAAGACACCGUCAGUUUAGUAUUAAGACAAUGGCAAGCAAAGAUGCAUUGGGGUGGGAGUGCCUGAUAAGGGAAUACAAUUAAGGAGUUGCAUCAUUGACAAAUACAACUUAUGGGGUGCAGAAAGCAAAGUGCAAGGGUGAGUCAUAUAUAUUUAUUGUCCUACAGUCUUCUUCAGGAAGCUGCUCAACUAGGAAAAUGUCAGGCAACUGAACAUGCAAGUACUUGCCUCUUAAUAAUAAUAAUAAUUGCUAACCUUUGAGCAACUAGUACAUUCCAGGCACUUUUUUCAGUUCUUUACAGGUAUUAAUUCAUUAAUCCUCACAACAAGCCUCACAACGAAGUGGAAGAAGCAGGUGAUGAGUCCGUGGAGGGUGGUUUUCAGAUUUGCUAUCUGGACAACAAAAUAAGACGGUAUUUUAGAUAGAUCUUAUUUCAUUUCAUUCUGUUUAUUAGCUAUUGUAGUUUAACUCUGAGUAACAUUUACAAUGCAAAUGUAGAUUUCAUAUCUAUCAUUGUCAAUAACAUGGUGUCCUUGGGAACUCUGAAGAGAUGAAGGAGAAUUCUAGAGAUGGUACUUUUCUGGAGAAUUUUAACAUUUGAGGAAUGACAAUUGGAUCAUAUUAGAUCUGGAUACCAGAGAAAUAUUUUAUACACUACCUUACAAGUUCUCACCAGAAAAAUAAAUUCUGAAUGGCUUGAAUGUGCACUACUGUCAAAUGGAUUUAAAACAGAGCGAAGGGACCCUAAGCAAAGGGUAAUGAUAGCAAUAAUAAUGAUAAAUGGCAAUGCAUUGGGUUAGGAACAGGGUGCACAGUUGGCUGCUUUUAUUUAAGAUGUCUUGGUAAUAUUAAAGCUGCAAAAACCAUUAAUAAAUGAGUGCAUAGUGUUGUAAUCUGAAAUCUUUUUUGCAGAGAUCUUGGUCCUUCUCAUUGUAAUUAUUUGUUGCUAUUAUUAUUUAAUUAAAGAUAACAAAAUCACAUCAAUUAUCCUGCAUGAUAUCCGAGGAUCACAAAUAUCUCAAGAACUGUCAUUGGUUGUUUGUUUAUUGUCAUACAAGCCAGGACCACACAAUUAAUAAAGUGAACACAUUCUGAGUUUUCAAGGUGAAGAAAAAAGAAAAAUCUAAAUAGACUUUAGCUUCAGCCAGUGACAUUAAUUUUUUGGUAUGUUAUUACCACUGGUACACCCCAAAUAGCCUAUGUUAACCAGCUUGUGCAUAGCUUUAAAGGGUGAUACAUAACCCAUGGAAGUGAAUUUAAAGUAAAAAAUAUAUUCCUUUUUAAAAUGGAAGAUUGACUGUAAAAUAACUUUAGUGUGUAUAUGCAAAUUGUCUUAGCUAUGACUUCAUAAUUUGCAAUGGUAUUCAGCUUGACAAUGUUUACACUUGUUAAUGACUUCCUUUAUGAGUGAUAAUUGAUCUACUUCAUUACCAUAUUAAAUCCCCGAUCAUAUGCCAUUAGGUUUGAUGUAAUAAAUGAUCUGUGUGAUUUUUAGUGUAAUGAACUAAUUAGACUAAUUAAAAUCAAUAUGUGUGCCAAUAUUAUACUUGGAAUCCAAAUGUUCCUCCUUACACUGCUGGCUUAAAAUCAGCAACUCAGUAAAAAAAAAAAGAUCUAAUGCUGAUUUAUGAGCACUUGAGGAACAUGAGGCAGAAUAAAUUGCUUGUGGUAGUAGAGACAGCAUUAGCGCAGUAUAAGAUACUAAGUGCAUUGUAAGGUCAGCAAUAAGGGUGUAUUUACACAUGUAGUUAUAUGGCACCUUAAACCUCCCCUUAAUAUAUCAGAACAUCUCAGCAAAAUUAUUAGGUUUAAAUGCCAGUGUGAUUAUUCUGUACAUGUUCAUAAAUAAUGUUGCAAAAAUAUGAGCAUUUCAAUUAGGUAAUCAGUCUACAACAUAAUGAAAAUAUGCAUAUUCAGUUUGAUAAAUGUUAUCCAACAAUUGAUUUAUUUUCUGUUAGAAUGAAGGAAACAUAUUCUAAAGCCAAGAUUAAAUAAAAAAUCAAUGUGUAACUCUACAACUUUAAAUUGUCUAUCAUUCAUUCAGAGAUCUAUAGAGAUUAUAAAUGAUAAUUUUACAGAACCUAUAGAUAUAGUCUUUAAACCUAAGCUCCUAUGUCAUUUUCUGAGGAAGCUUUCCCGGACUCUCAAGAUUCUAAAGUAUCCCUCACUUAAAUGCUCACUCAAAAGCUUCUUUUUUUUCCUUCUUUUUGAGUUAUUUACCGACAUUUUAAUUGUAUGAUUGAUUGAUUAAUGAAGAUUGAAUCUAUGGACUGUAACCUCCACAAGGGCAAGGAUCACAUCUGUGAUUCUUCCCUAGAUAGGUCUAACACAGGGCUUUGCUCACAGAAAGCAAAACUUGUUUCUUUCAUUUUCUUUGAAAUAUGGUACAUUUCUUUGCUAGUUCUAAAGUUUAAGUAAAUUUUAGAUUAUUUUAAUCGAAGCUAAAUAUCAUGCCCUAAUAGUCAAUAGGUAGCUGCAAAACAAACAAAUAUGAAAAUUCCCAAUUAAAAUCAUACAUCCUAUAGCACAGGGGACUAUAGUCAAUAUCCUGUAAUAAACUAUAAUGGAAAAUAACCUGGAAAACAAUAUAUAUAUGUGUGUGUAUAUAUAUAUAUUUUUUUCCGUACACCUGAAACACAACAUUAUAAAUCAACUAUACUUCAAUAAAACAAAACAAAAGCAAUAAACAAAAAAACUUCCCUUUUGAAUAAAAAAAAAUCAGCCGUUAUUUUCUUCACAGAGUCUGGUCUGUGUCUUCCAUGUUUGUUUCUCUUGAGAGCCAGUGGAAGUUGUAGACAUUAAGGAAGCUGAAUUGGAUUGAGGAAUUCGGGGCUUAUUCAUUAGACGCCACAUCAGUGGUUAUUCAGUUUUUCUUAUCACUUGAUAUAAGUUUUAUUGAGUGGUAGGAAAAAAAUGGAACUAGAAUGUAUUAUCCAGCAUCCCAGGGAAUGGAACUGGUACAUAUCAUCUUUGGAUACUUCUUUAAAGGGUUUCCUGCCAGGUUUGUUUCACUUAUGGCUUGUAAUGAUCCAAAUAGAAGUAAGUAUUUAAACAUGAAAACUUGACUUUGGGAAUAAUUUUUAGGGAUUGACUAUGAGACAACAUAAAAGAAGCUCUCCAGGCACUUUCUCCAGCUCAGUCAGAUCCUUUCUUACUUCCUUACUCUUCACAUUCCCUAUAGGCUUCUGCUCAUCAUUUUUACAUUCAUUUAUUCAAAAUUAAACACAUACUUAUGGAGAGUUUUCUCAAGGCAGUAUCCUUGCUUGUCUGGUAAAGAGUAUAGUGUUCCCAGUUUAAAUCUAUUUCUCAUCCAGGAAGAAAAGUAAGACAUGUACAUACAUAGUUCUAAUCUAAAACGAUAAGUGAUAAAUUUCUGAGAGUCUUAAUUAAAUUGCAAGUGAAAUUUAAAGGGAGGACAAUGACUUCUAGCAGGGUAAUUCAGGAAGGUUUUGUAAUGGAACUGGCAUUCAAACUCAAAUUUGAUGUCUAGAAAGAAUUUUGUGGAGUUCCCAUCAUGGCUCAGCAGAAAUGAAUCUGACUAGUAUCCAUGAGAAUGCGGUUAGAUCCCUGGCCUUUCUCAGUGGGUUAAGGAUCUGGCGUUGCCAUGAGCUGUGGUUGCAGAUGUGACUUGGAUCCCAUGUUGCUGUGGCUGUGACAUAGGCCAGCAGUUACAGCUCUGAUUGGAUCCCUAGCCUGGGAACCUCCAUAUGCCAUGGGUGAGGCCCUU
RNAcentral lists this long non-coding RNA (6287 nucleotides) under Sus scrofa (pig). RNAcentral's name for it is "lncRNA (ENSSSCG00060055529.1)". The record is from RNAcentral. Lineage: Eukaryota; Metazoa; Chordata; Mammalia; Artiodactyla; Suidae.